CGCUGGCGGCGUGCUUAACACAUGCAAGUCGAGCGGUAAGGCCCUUCGGGGUACACGAGCGGCGAACGGGUGAGUAACACGUGGGUGAUCUGCCUCGCACUCUGGGAUAAGCCUGGGAAACUGGGUCUAAUACCGGAUAUGACCUUACAUCGCAUGGUGUUUGGUGGAAAGAUUUAUCGGUGCGAGAUGGGCCCGCGGCCUAUCAGCUUGUUGGUGGGGUAAUGGCCUACCAAGGCGACGACGGGUAGCCGGCCUGAGAGGGCGACCGGCCACACUGGGACUGAGACACGGCCCAGACUCCUACGGGAGGCAGCAGUGGGGAAUAUUGCACAAUGGGCGAAAGCCUGAUGCAGCGACGCCGCGUGAGGGAUGACGGCCUUCGGGUUGUAAACCUCUUUCGACAGGGACGAAGCGCAAGUGACGGUACCUGUAGAAGAAGCACCGGCCAACUACGUGCCAGCAG
Molecule: ribosomal RNA, 463 nt
Filed under: Nocardia cyriacigeorgica
Lineage: Bacteria; Bacillati; Actinomycetota; Actinomycetes; Mycobacteriales; Nocardiaceae
Description: bacterial SSU rRNA
Rfam family: Bacterial small subunit ribosomal RNA
Source: RNAcentral